This 64-nucleotide transfer RNA is filed under the name Monodelphis domestica (gray short-tailed opossum). It matches the Rfam family "tRNA", at positions 5 to 66 of the family's 71-position model. From Rfam's summary of the family: Transfer RNA (tRNA) molecules are approximately 80 nucleotides in length. Their secondary structure includes four short double-helical elements and three loops (D, anti-codon, and T loops). Further hydrogen bonds mediate the characteristic L-shaped molecular structure. tRNAs have two regions of fundamental functional importance: the anti-codon, which is responsible for specific mRNA codon recognition, and the 3' end, to which the tRNAs corresponding amino acid is attached (by aminoacyl-tRNA synthetases). tRNAs cope with the degeneracy of the genetic code in two manners: having more than one tRNA (with a specific anti-codon) for a particular amino acid; and 'wobble' base-pairing, i.e. permitting non-standard base-pairing at the 3rd anti-codon position. Lineage: Eukaryota; Metazoa; Chordata; Mammalia; Didelphimorphia; Didelphidae. The record is from Rfam by way of RNAcentral.
CUUUGGCGAAGUAGGUAGCGAAUCAGUUUUGCAAGCUGAAGGUCCCGAGUUCGAUCCUCAGAAG